RNAcentral lists this unclassified non-coding RNA (226 nucleotides) under Hevea brasiliensis (rubber tree). Lineage: Eukaryota; Viridiplantae; Streptophyta; Magnoliopsida; Malpighiales; Euphorbiaceae. The record is from RNAcentral.
UAGUAAUUUAAUUGUUAUACUAACAAUUCAAAAAUUACAAAUAGGAGUUCUAAUGUAGAACAGGAAAACCAAAGGAAAACUAAUUCCAAGAGAAAUAAAUUCUCAACAUUAUUAAUACUCAAUUGAAUAACGUCAUAACGAAGGAUGCUCAUUGCUCAAUUUGUAGAGAGCUAGACCUAUUCAUAGUGUUUUUGUAAUCCUAUUAACAUUAGGAUUAGGAACCCUA